This 65-nucleotide transfer RNA is filed under the name Rhinebothrium fulbrighti. RNAcentral describes it as "tRNA-Met". Lineage: Eukaryota; Metazoa; Platyhelminthes; Cestoda; Rhinebothriidea; Rhinebothriidae. The record is from RNAcentral.
UGGCGAAUAGGUUAAGUUUAAACUCUGGGGUUCAUGUCCCCACAAUAUGUGUUUCAUUUUGCUGA